RNAcentral lists this ribosomal RNA (463 nucleotides) under Comamonadaceae bacterium. RNAcentral describes it as "bacterial SSU rRNA". It matches the Rfam family "Bacterial small subunit ribosomal RNA", at positions 402 to 858 of the family's 1533-position model. The record is from RNAcentral. Lineage: Bacteria; Pseudomonadati; Pseudomonadota; Betaproteobacteria; Burkholderiales; Comamonadaceae.
UGCAGGAUGAAGGCCUUCGGGUUGUAAACUGCUUUUGUACGGAACGAAACGGUGAGCUCUAAUACAGCUUGCUAAUGACGGUACCGUAAGAAUAAGCACCGGCUAACUACGUGCCAGCAGCCGCGGUAAUACGUAGGGUGCGAGCGUUAAUCGGAAUUACUGGGCGUAAAGCGUGCGCAGGCGGUGAUGUAAGACAGAUGUGAAAUCCCCGGGCUCAACCUGGGACCUGCAUUUGUGACUGCAUCGCUAGAGUACGGUAGAGGGGGAUGGAAUUCCGCGUGUAGCAGUGAAAUGCGUAGAUAUGCGGAGGAACACCGAUGGCGAAGGCAAUCCCCUGGACCUGUACUGACGCUCAUGCACGAAAGCGUGGGGAGCAAACAGGAUUAGAUACCCUGGUAGUCCACGCCCUAAACGAUGUCAACUGGUUGUUGGGUCUUCACUGACUCAGUAACGAAGCUAACGC